GACGAACGCUGGCGGCGUGCCUAAUACAUGCAAGUUGAGCGCUGAAGGUUGGUACUUGUGCCAACUGGAUGAGCAGCGAACGGGUGAGUAACGCGUGGGGAAUCUGCCUUUGAGCGGGGGACAACAUUUGGAAACGAAUGCUAAUACCGCAUAAAAACUUUAAACACAAGGUUUAAGUUUGAAAGAUGCAAUUGCAUCACUCAAAGAUGAUCCCGCGUUGUAUUAGCUAGUUGGUGAGGUAAAGGCUCACCAAGGCGAUGAUACAUAGCCGACCUGAGGGGGUGAUAGGCCAAGUUGGGACUGGGACACGGCCCAAACGCCUAGGGGAGGCAGCAGUAGGGAAUCUUCGGGAAUGGACGAAAGGCUGAACGAGCAACGCCGCGUGAGUGAAGAAGGUUGUCGGAUCGCGAAACUCAGUUGGUAGAGAAGAACGUUGGUGAGAGUGGAAAGCGCAUAAAGUGACGGUAACUACACAGAAAGGGACGGCUAACUACGUG
Molecule: ribosomal RNA, 497 nt
Filed under: uncultured bacterium
Lineage: Bacteria
Description: partial 16S ribosomal RNA
Rfam family: Bacterial small subunit ribosomal RNA
Source: RNAcentral